UGCAUGGCAGGUCAAAAAAAAUAUCUCAAUAAAAAAAUAACGAUUUUUGGUUCGGAGGGGAGACAGCAUGGAGUUUAUUUUUGCCCAGGGUCUCCCCUCCGUUGUGUGGUGUGCGCCGUCUGUCCUUUCUUAUUGUUUUGUCUCUUAUUUUUGCUCGCCCCCAAUCGCAAACAGUCGGACAUGGAUUCUGGACAACUGCGGCCGCAUCGAUAUCUCGUCGUCAAAGAUGAUUCUAGGGAGAUUUGAUGCCGGAAGAUUACUGCUCGACGAGCCCGAAUGGCCAGAACGAAGCCUCUCAUCACAAUUACAAGUUAAACUAAAUUUCGGCUCAAAUACAAGCUGCUUGGUUGUGGGAUAGGUCCAGAAGUUCUUUUCGUGACAACCUCUUUUCUGAGGAUUUGAGGUGACCAAUGAAACUAAAGCUUUUAAGUAUUGGCAAGUAAUGUUUUCUGUUAAUUUACAAGAAGCUUUUGAAGUAUUGGCAAGUAAUGUUUUCGGUUAAUUUACGUUUUGUGAUUCAAGUCAUUGCGAUUGAUCAUUCAUAGGUGUUGGCAUUAUCAUUUAUUUAUUCUAUUCAUUUGUUAAAAGAGUUUAGAUUGAAUAUAUUCCCUUGGUUUUGUUGUUUGUAUGGAAUUGCGGAGGAAUUAUCGUUAAACUGGGGUUGUUUUUAUAGUACUUGGAUGAUAGAUCAAAUUGUGGUCUGUUGAUAUUGCCCGAUUCACAAUUAGGGGUUAUGAUUUUGGUUAUUUUUCAAACAGCUCCGCGUAGUUGUUCAAUGUUUGUAUUAUGUAGUUUCUAUUUACUAUUACUUACAGAAGGUGGCGUUUAGUU
Molecule: non-coding RNA, 831 nt
Organism: Malus domestica (apple)
Lineage: Eukaryota; Viridiplantae; Streptophyta; Magnoliopsida; Rosales; Rosaceae
Source: RefSeq, a predicted model, not a curated record